AGAAAGCAUGACUGAGGAAGCCUCAGUAAACUUACAAUUAUGGCAGAAGGUGAAGAGAAAGCAGACACCUCUUAACAUGCUGGAGAAGGAGGAAGAGAGAGAGAAGGGGGAAGUCCUACACUCUUUUAUAAACAACCAGAUCUCAUGAGAAUUCACUCACUAUUACAAGAACAGAAAGGUUCUUGGUUCAUGGUUCAAUCAGCUCCUACCAGGCUCCUCCUCCAACAUUGGGGAUUACAAUUCAACAUGAAAUUUCAGCAGAGACACUGACUCAAAUCAUAUCAGGGAUAGGAAAUACGACCUGUCUCACUUUGAUCCAUAUUGAAGGCUUCGGAUUUCCUUCAUUCUCCAAGUGAUGCAAAACCAAGAUUCUCACCUAAGUGCUGAAACGACCUCAUAGCACAAAGGGGAGACAGAAAUUUUAAAAGUUCUGGAAGAGGGGAAGUCCAAGGUCAAGGUGCUAGCAGAUUUUGUGUCUGGUGAGAGCUGCUCUCUGCUGCCAAGAUGGCAUCUCUUGGUAAGGAAGAUGAGGCACAGAGAGGUUGAAUAAAUGGGCCAAAUUCAUCAACUGCUAAGUGGAAGAGCCAGCACUUGAAGCCAGACUGUCUGCCUCUGUAACAUUAAACACUCAAUCAGACUGACCCUGAUGGAUAUGGGGAAGAUUUUAAGUGUUUAAUGCAGAAUGAUGACAUAAAUGACUUGCUUAUUUAGAACAGUAACUCUGCAGUUGAAAGGAUGAAUUAAAUGUUGGGAAGUGGUUAUUAAAAUGCUGUUGCAGUGGUCCAGGUAGCCAAAUAUAAGAACAUCACUAUGGUUAUUGUAGUGAGGAUACAUAAAUAAAGGACAGAUUGGAGACUUCUUGAGCAACCAGAAUUGGCAGAACCUGUUGAUGGAUUGGGGUAAUUAACAUUAGGGCACACACAAAAAAAGGAAGGUAACAUUUCAUCUCCAAACUAGAAAAAGAUAGAUAUGAUUUAGUUGGGAAGAUGAAGAACUUUGAGCAUAUUACCUGCAAGAUACUCAAACAAAACUCAGUAGGACACAAUUAUACUUGCAGGGUGAAUCUCAAGAGGAAAAGGAUUUAAGUGCAGAUGUGGUAGCCAUCAGAGGAAAGAAGUUAUUUUAAGAUAUGAGUGUGGAUAUCGUUUUAUAAAGAAGGGUGAAGAAUGACAAGAGAAAAGGGUUACAUACAGACGAUCUGUGGAGCAGCUGACUAAGUGAUGUGCAAAUUAGACUGGCAAGGAAAGACAAGAGUUAGAAAGAAAACCAGAGGAAAGAGAUGCCCCAGAAACAAGAGAGAAGCAGGAAAAUAUUACAUUAUCACUAAGUCUAAGGUUUUAGGGCUCCUCAAGAGUAUCCUUUGGAAUUGAUCAUAAUGAUGCCCCCAGUGAUCCUAAGGAAUGCCCUGAAAUGCGGUAGCUGGAGCUAGUCCCAAUCGCAAGGCACUAAAUUUUCUUCCAUGAGCAGUUCAGUGCUAGUGACGAAGGGAGCGCCUGACUGAUGCACAAAGAUGACAGCUAUGUGGCCAAGAGACCAAGACUAUGAGAAAAUGUUCCAUUCUGGCCCUGCCCCCAGAUGGAGCUGUAUGCUCAUCAGUGGAGCGAUAAAAUGCCAUGGCCUGGGAGGCGGGGGAGGAAAAGUUCUCUGUAACUCUUACCAUUCAAAAGUUUGUCAAGGCAUCAUUUUUCUUCAGAAGCAGAGAAGUCUGUCCCCUGUUGUUACUUGACAAGUAUUAACUAAAAGCCUACUCUGUGCCUUAGGCUGGGAAAUACCUUCCUACUAUACUUAGAGUAAGAAGAAGAGGAAGAUUCUCAGAAGGUAUUUACAACUUACUCAGUAACUUCCCAGAUUUAAAUUACUUAGAAAAAGCAAUAUCAAGUCUGUAAUCUAAUAUGUAAUUGAUACAGGAUACACAACUUCAGGGGAAUUGUGAUGUCCUGAAAUAUUCUUUCAAAUGCAACAGAAGGCACGAAGUAUAAUUAUAAAAUGACACUGGUUUCUACAAAUCAAAGGAAAAAUUGGUCUUUGUUCAAGGUCACACAUUACAUUCAAUUAGAUGUUUGUAUUUAGGAGGCUAUCCCGACCCACACAUGCUUUCAGCUUACAGACCCACACAUGUGCAAAGAAACACAGAACUCAAAAAAUCAUAAAAAUCAUAAUGUAUAAAUUUUUCAGAGCUAUUAAUUUUUCAUAUGAAAUUUUAAUCCAUUUCUUUUAUAACCGGUAGUAUUAGAUCUCAUAUUUCUGUUUCAUUCCCUUUCCUCACUUUGAAGCAGUUGAUAUAUUUACAUGAAAAUGACCUCUUUGUUCUUUAGAAAAUCAUCUCAGGCUUAUUCUCUACCCAGAAUUACAAUAAUCCUAUAUUUGUGACAUCUUAAUCACCUCCACAGCAACCGAUUGUGAGGUUAGAAACAGAGGAUUAAAACUUCAAGUGGAAAAUAAGAAGCAGGAAUUGAUGAGUUCUUAACAAACCAAGAUUUUUUUUUUCUUCAAAAUAAAUUACUCCAAGGAACAAGAAAGGAUUUUCAAACGAGGACUAUGAAGAAUAUAGAGAAAUACAGCAGAGCUGUUUAUCAAAGUUUUCCUUGGUAUGUCAGCAGGUCCUUUGGAACUGACAGUGCUGAUCUAAACAUUUCAAUAAUAAUAGAAGUGUUAACAGUGAUAGGAACAAAUAAUAUUAAACACUGUCAACUGCAGCAUUUCAUUUUCACUGGCCUGACAACCACUGCUGCAAAAAAUGAAAUGAGGAGAAAGAGACUUAACUGUUGAGUCAUUGCAAAUAAGACUCUAUUAACAAUACUAGCAAUGGGAACAAGGGUAUUAAAAUGAAAGAAAGCAAGAAAAAAAUGAAAGAAAAAGAGAAAGGAGAGAGCAAGAGCGGGGGAGGAGAAAGAAGGAGAGAGGGAGGGAGAAAAAAAGGAACUCAAGCCUGACUCCUGUCUUUAAUAGUGAGUGCAAGUUUUGGGUUUCUUUUUGUUUAUAUUUUUACAGGAUACAUAGAAACAAAUAUGUAAUAAAUAAAAAUGGAAGUGUGUCAUAUUAUUGAAAAAUAAAACCUGCCUAAAAAUAUGUAGGAAACUGAUGUUGAUUCUUUAAUGUUGGCCCCAUCUCCACCUCACCACCGUGAACCAAAAUAACAAUCUACUUAUUGAAGAGGACAUGUCACCUUUGAACUAAAUAUCUCGGUCUUGUCUUAGUGGAACAUGGCAUCACUUACACA
Molecule: long non-coding RNA, 3220 nt
Filed under: Homo sapiens (human)
Lineage: Eukaryota; Metazoa; Chordata; Mammalia; Primates; Hominidae
Description: HSALNT0114305
Source: RNAcentral